CAUGUCCUUUUGAUGUUUAAUUUAAGGUCUAACCUGCCCAAUGAUUAUAAUUAAAUGGCCGCGGUAUUUUGACCGUGCAAAGGUAGCAUAAUCAUUAGUUUUUUAAUUGAAAGCUGGAAUGAAGGGUUGAAUGAGAAAAUUACUGUUUUUUUAAUAUUUAAUUAGAAUUUUAUUUUUAAGUUAAAAAGCUUAAAUUUAAUUUAUAGACGAGAAGACCCUUUAGAGUUUUAUAAAUUUAUAUAUAAAAUUUUUUAGUAAUAACUUAAUUUUAUAUAUUUUUUUUAUUUAAUUGGGGUGAUUGAAAAAUUUAAAUAACUUUUUUUUUUAUUUUACAUUUAUAUAUGAAUAAUUGAUCCAUUUUUUAUGAUUAUAAGAUUAAAUUACCUAAGGGAUAACAGCGUUAUUUUUUUUGAGAGUUCAAAUCGAAAAAAAAGUUUGCGACCUCGAUGUUGGAUUAAAAUUAAAUUAUGGUGUAGAGGCUAUAACUUUA
RNAcentral lists this ribosomal RNA (490 nucleotides) under Thymogethes submetallicus. RNAcentral's name for it is "partial 16S ribosomal RNA". Lineage: Eukaryota; Metazoa; Arthropoda; Insecta; Coleoptera; Nitidulidae. The record is from RNAcentral.